AUCAACCAUAGAAGCAAUGACCAACCUCUUACAAAUCGGGCGCCUUGAGAGGUUGAGAGCUGGCGGCGCAACCGGCUAUGGCAGGC
RNAcentral lists this non-coding RNA (86 nucleotides) under Dethiobacter alkaliphilus. RNAcentral's name for it is "c-di-GMP-II sequence". It matches the Rfam family "Cyclic di-GMP-II riboswitch aptamer". The record is from RNAcentral. RNAcentral also lists the same sequence under 1 other name. Lineage: Bacteria; Bacillati; Bacillota; Dethiobacteria; Dethiobacterales; Dethiobacteraceae.